GCCCCGUUACGCAAACGGCAAAGCGGCAUUCCACAAAGGAAUGUGUGUGCGAGUUCAACUCUCGCACGGGGUA
Molecule: transfer RNA, 73 nt
Filed under: Rhodococcus sp. (in: high G+C Gram-positive bacteria)
Lineage: Bacteria; Bacillati; Actinomycetota; Actinomycetes; Mycobacteriales; Nocardiaceae
Description: Rhodococcus sp. (freshwater metagenome) tRNA-Leu
Source: RNAcentral